ACGUACGCUGGCGGCACGCCUAACACAUGCAAGUCGAACGAAGUAGCAAUACUUAGUGGCAGACGGGUGAGUAACAUGUAGGUAUCUGCCCUUUGGCCUGGAAUAACACGAGGAAACUUGUGCUAAUACCGGAUAAGUCUUUACGGAGAAAGCUUUAUGCACCAUUGGAUGAGCCUGCACUUGAUUAGUUUGUUGGUGGGGUAAUGGCCUACCAAGACUGUGAUCAAUAGCUGAUUUGAGAGGAUGAUCAGCCACAUUGGGACUGAGACACGGCCCAAACUCCUACGGGAGGCAGCAGUGGGGAAUCUUGCACAAUGGAGGAAACUCUGAUGCAGCGAUGCCGCGUGAGUGAAGAAGGCCUUUGGGUUGUAAAGCUCUUUCGUCGGGGAAGAAAAUGACUGUACCCGAAUAAGAAGGUCCGGCUAACUUCGUGCCAGCAGCCGCGGUAAUACGAAGGGACCUAGCGUAGUUCGGAAUUACUGGGCUUAAAGAGUUCGUAGGUGGUUGAAAAAGUUAGUGGUGAAAUCCCAGAGCUUAACUCUGGAACUGCCAUUAAAACUUUUCAGCUAGAGUAUGAUAGAGGAAAGCAGAAUUUCUAGUGUAGAGGUGAAAUUCGUAGAUAUUAGAAAGAAUACCAAUUGCGAAGGCAGCUUUCUGGAUCAUUACUGACACUGAGGAACGAAAGCAUGGGUAGCGAAGAGGAUUAGAUACCCUCGUAGUCCAUGCCGUAAACGAUGUGCGUUAGACGUUGGAAAUUUAUUUUCAGUGUCGCAGCGAAAGCGAUAAACACACCGCCUGGGGAGUACGACCGCAAGGUUAAAACUCAAAUGAAUUGACGGGGACCCGCACAAGUAGUGGAGCAUGUGGUUUAAUUCGAAGAUACGCGCAGAACCUUACCAACACUUGACAUGUUCGUCGCGACUCUAAGAGAUUAGAGUUUUCGGUUCGGCCGGACGAAACACAGGUGCUGCAUGGCUGUCGUCAGCUCGUGUCGUGAGAUGUUGGGUUAAGUCCCGCAACGAGCGCAACCCUCACUUUUAGUUGCCAUCAUUAAGUUGGGCACUCUGAAAGAACUGCCAGUGAUAAGCUGGAGGAAGGUGGGGAUGACGUCAAGUCCUCAUGGCCCUUACGUGUUGGGCUACACACGUGCUACAAUGGUAUCUACAACAGGAAGCAAGACUGCGAAGUUAAGCAAAUCCCUAAAAGAUACCUCAGUUCGGAUUGCACUCUGCAACUCGAGUGCAUGAAGCUGGAAUUACUAGUAAUCGUGGAUCAGCGUGCCACGGUGAAUGCGUUCCCGGGUCUUGUACACACCGCCCGUCAAGG
RNAcentral lists this ribosomal RNA (1326 nucleotides) under uncultured Alphaproteobacteria bacterium. RNAcentral's name for it is "bacterial SSU rRNA". It matches the Rfam family "Bacterial small subunit ribosomal RNA", at positions 29 to 1402 of the family's 1533-position model. Lineage: Bacteria; Pseudomonadati; Pseudomonadota; Alphaproteobacteria. The record is from RNAcentral.